RNAcentral lists this ribosomal RNA (236 nucleotides) under uncultured Staphylococcus sp. Its description in RNAcentral is "partial 16S ribosomal RNA". It matches the Rfam family "Bacterial small subunit ribosomal RNA", at positions 104 to 334 of the family's 1533-position model. The record is from RNAcentral. Lineage: Bacteria; Bacillati; Bacillota; Bacilli; Caryophanales; Staphylococcaceae.
GGGUGAGUAACACGUGGAUAACCUACCUAUGAGACUGGGAUAACUUCGGGAAACCGGAGCUAAUACCGGAUAAUAUAUUGAACCGCAUGGUUCAAUAGUGAAAGACGGUUUUGCUGUCACUUAUAGAUGGAUCCGCGCCGCAUUAGCUAGUUGGUAAGGUAACGGCUUACCAAGGCAACGAUGCGUAGCCGACCUGAGAGGGUGAUCGGCCACACUGGAACUGAGACACGGUCCAG